Long non-coding RNA from Daktulosphaira vitifoliae (grape phylloxera), 4008 nucleotides. RefSeq lists it as uncharacterized. The transcript is spliced from 3 exons. The record is from RefSeq and is a predicted model, not a curated record. Lineage: Eukaryota; Metazoa; Arthropoda; Insecta; Hemiptera; Phylloxeridae.
CAAUAAUUAAGAAUGUUAAUGGUAAUUAAAGAGUUAAUUAAUGUCAAUCGAUAUAGGUAAAGUCGUAAAUCAAGUGUGUAAUGAUUAAAAUUUCGAUAUUAAUUUGGGUUGAUGGAGGGUAGGUUGUCAGCUAUAGAUAAGUCAUUGUUGGUGUGGCGUAUACAGCAACGCGUGCCCCUCGACCAGCAACAUCACAGAUGUUACGUCAUACAAAUGCCCUUUUAUGUCGAUUAUAUCCCAUACAAUAAUGUUAAAGAAUCUCCCCCUGCCUACAUCCUACCCUGAUAAUUGUACAUCAAACAGUUGCACGAUAUAUUGCAUAAUCGAUGUCCGUCGACGUAGACGGAGUAUAAGUCAUAGGUCGUGUAACCGCCCUGAUGACAGCGGCGUAAAUCGCCAUAGUUUCCACCUCUUUAGUGCGAUAAUAAUACGAUGCACGCCGUCGGGGUAGCAGUAAGCUUAUCCCUACAGUGUGCAUUGUAUCAAGUAUGAUAUAUCAAAAUUAACCCUACAGUAUAGCCAGUUAUUUUAAUUUUAGAUAAAAAUUGUACGUAACAUUUUGAUUUUGUGUAAUUUAUUAAUAAAAACUGAAUAUAUUUAUUAUUUAUUUAUUUGUUUGGAUUAUGACACAGCGGGCGGUCGGCCAUAUAGCAUACAUGAAAUAUAAGUUUUUUUUGACGAAAAAAGUUUUAGUUAAUUUUUUCUUAGGAUAGAUAAACAUUAAAAAUUUGUUUUGCCGCUUUAAAAUAUGUUUAACUAAAUAUUUUCAUCGAAGAAGUUUUAUUCUCCAAUCCCCCUUCCUUAAAACAUUCAUGCGCUUAAUAGUCAAUAGCUCUAGACAAAAUAUAUUGUUACUAUAUUCCUACUGUUACUUUAAAGUAUAUUCUUUUAAUUUAACUUUUAGAACCCCACAUUUUAGAUUCGAUGCGAAGCUGAGAAGGUAUUACUUUAACAUGAUGUGUUAAUUUUUUUUUGUGUCUGUCACUAGUAGGGUAAUUCUAAGCCCUCUCCGCUUCAUCCACCCCCACCACAACACCGUAGUGAUGGGGAAGAGGGGGGAGUAAAUCCAACGUAAACUAACAUAUUGCAAUGGGAGGGGCAAUGACGAAAGCCAACGUAAACUAACCUAAGAAGAACCUCUCCUCUUCCACCAUGUCUUACGAUUGGGGUGGGGGAAUGAAACUUAAGGUAAUCUAACUUAAUAGGAAAGUUGGGGGGGGGAUGAAACACGACGUAAACUAACACAAAUUGUCACGCGCCUAAAUUAUGCUCGGCCAUAUAGUAUAUACAUAAUAUCGGUUAUUUGACGAAAAAAAAAAAUGCAUUUUCCAGGUAAGCUAUACGGUUACGGUGAAAAAUAUAAAUUUUAAAUGUCGAAUCCGCUAUUUUGAUAUGCGACAUGCAUAUAUUUAGAUAAAUUAUGUACGGAAAAUGUUAAUUUUACCUAAUUUGUAAAAAAAAUUAGUUCGAAACAUUGUAUUGUAACAUUGUAUAUAUAUAUUUUGUCUGAAUUAUUACUGGUAUCCCUCCCAUUGUUAUAAAUCAUUUCUGUAUUUAACAACUGUAAUUAAUUAUUUUUAAUAAAAUAAUAGCUUCGACUGGACGGAUUGCAUUCUUCAUCCAUCAACACAUUAGAGACGGCAGACGGUCAUAAUUUUUACAAAGGCGUCUGUUUUAAAUCCUAAUGACAUAUAUGUCUAAACAUUUCACUUUAAGACUGAAUGUUUUCACGCUAUUAUAAAUAACGAUUCAAUUUAUCAACUAAUUGUCUUGGAUAGCGUUUAUAAAAUUUAAUGUAAGUGCUGUAUAACAUGUAGAAACUUGAAUAUUUUUUUUUCAGACCACUUGAUAUACUUUAGUCAUUUUGCUCACGAUAUACGAUGUACUUGUGCGAUUAAUGACCGCGCACCACCAACAUUGGUACAGCGGUUAAUACAGUAACAAUCCGUAUUUAUAAAGACAUCAAUAAAGAUUAUAUUCACUCUUUGACUAAGCGUUAUUAACGGCUCGUUAACAUAUUGCUUAAAAAUAUUCGGUUAAACGUAAGCAAGUACUAGUAUUUAUUUUUUAUUUAAAUUUAAAAUCGAAUAACAAUGGCUGAUGUUAAUUUUACUGGUGCUGCACAAGGUAAGUUUUUUUGAUUGAAUAUUUCGAUAUUUUCGAUACACAAAUUGUUUUAUACACAUUAUAUCAUAGCCACCUCUUCCGCGACUGUUCCACACCAUCAUUCAGUUAAACGUAGGGCUAACAACAGUAGGGUAGAAUCGAAAAGGUUGCGUAUACAAUUGCCGGACGCGAAAAAUUUCAUCGAGAUUGAUUCCGCAUUGAAGCGAGGAGCCGUUUGGUUUUAUCGGAAAAACGUGGAAAAUUGACAAUCGCAUAGGUAUCUAUACUUUUUUUUUUAUCUUUGAAUUGACACCAGGGAGGAGUACUGCCUUUGCUUUGCUUUCCCCCGAGAUGCCAACGUUUAUUUAUUUUAAAAACACCAAUUUUAUUUGCUAUGUUCUUAAUCUAUUCUAAUACUAAACAUUCAUUAUUUUAUCUUAAUUCUACUGUACAUUAUUUCAUCUAUUUACAAUAUUACACAUUUGAGCCCUGCUCCCGGAUCUGUCCAUUUAUCUUCUUAGGUCGUCUAUCCAGACCGCCACCUUCAAGUCACGUACCCUGCCUCCGCCUUUCCUCGCACUCUUUUGUCACCAGUAUGUUCUCCACGUAUGUCCUUACCAGAUCCCAUUCCUGUCUGCUCCUCAGCAUGAUUCGCACAAUGCUCUCCGGCGUGACUUGUGCAUUCAGGUAUGCUUCCAAAGUCAUAAGCUCUCUACACCAGCAUUCACACUGGAAAAACGUGUGUUCUGCAGUGUCGAAUUGGGCCCCACAGGACACGCACUCCGGACUGGCCACUCUCUUAUACUUGUAGAGGUAGGUCUGAAAAUAUCCAUGACCCGAUAAGAACUGAGCCAUGUGGAAAUCGACCGUUCCGUGGUUACGUUCCACAACCUUUACAAGGUUGUACAAACCUUUACGAGUGGGCUAUGAGUCAGCCCAUGCCGUACGGUGGCUUCCGGUGGUAUGAAGGAGCAGAUCCUCUGGCCGACCUCCAAUUGCUUUCGGACAAUGGUAAUACGGGACGAAUAUAUGAAGUGGACGUAUCGUAUCCAGAAGAGCUGCAUGACGAGCACAACGACUUGCCGUUCUUGCCUGGCAACGAUGUACCACCGGGUUCCAAGGAGACCAAACUCAUGGCCACUUUGAAACCCAAACAACGGUGCACCGCGUUUUAGAGUUUCAACAAAGUGCUUGGUUGAAACCGUACAUUGAGUUGAACACUGAAAUGCGGAAACAGGCAGCAAAUGCUUUUGAAAUAGCGUUUUUCAAAUUAAUGAAUAAUGCCGUCUUUGGAAAACCAUGGAGAACAUGUGGAAACGUAUCCGCAUUGAACUAAUCUCCAGGUCCGAACGUCUAAGCAAGCUCGUAAACCAACCAACCUUCAACGACUGUAUCAAAUUAGCUACCUGUAUUUGUAAACCCUUGUGUAUUAUAUAUGUAUAUUAACUCAAAAAUUUGAAACUUUAAAUGUUUAUAUUUAAUAAACAAAUAAAAGUAUAUUAAAAAUUCAAAUGCAUUCUACAAUUAAAUUAAAAACUCAAACAUUUUAUUAAAUUCAAAAUAUGUACUCACAUUUAAAAAAAAAAAGUUGACACCCUUACUAGGCAUAAGGGAUGAACUUAAAAAGUUUUACAUAGUUAAUAAUUCAAGAAUAAUGUGUAACUAAGGAUAAUAAAAAAAAAAAUGUUUAUUGUAAUUAUUAUUAUUUUGUAAGUAAUUGAGGGGUUAUGAUAAAAAAAUCACUCUGUAUACAAUGUAUUUUAUGGUUGCAUUUUUCAUGUGAAUUUUAUUAAAUAAUGCGAUUUUUGUUUAUAUUACUCAGUUAUCUCAAAAAAGGUCUCACUGCAUUUAAUGAGAUAGUAAACAAUUAUUAUGUAUCAUUGAUGCGCUGUAAGUUGCCUU